AAUAAGAAUAAAACAUUUGCUUCCAAAGACUCUAAAAUAUGAAACAGUGGGCUUUUUAUCGGUGAGGAGUUCAUAUGAUGUCUUCUUGAGGAUUCGGUGAAGGUAGAGUUGGUUGAGGGAGUAGCAAGCAGUGUUGAUUGCUUCCGCCCAAAACCGGUCCGGUGUCUUGAACUCAUCAAGCAUGGUUCUUGCCAUGUCCAGUAGAGUUCUAUUCUUCCUCUCCACUACAUCAUUUUGUUGAGGUGUGUAGGGAGAAGAGAACUCAUGCUUGAUCCCCUCAUCCUCAAGAAAUCCUUCUAUUUGAGAGUUCUUGAACUCCGUCCCAUUAUCGCUUCUUAUCUUUUUUAUCCUUAAUCCAAACUUAUUUUGAGCUCGUCUCAAGAAUCCUUUUAGGAUAUCUUGGGUCUGAGAUUUUCCUACAAGAAUAACACCCAAGUGAAGAGAGAAUAAUCAUCCAUAAUAACUAGACAGUACUUACUCCCGCCGAUGGUUAUGUAAGCGAUCAGGCCGAAUAGAUCCAUGUGGAGUAGCUCGAGCGGCCUGUCAGUAGUCAUGAUGUUCUUGUGUGGAUGGUGGACUCCAACUUGCUUCCCUGCUUGACAUGCGCUACAAAUCCUGUCUUUCUCAAAAUGAACAUUUGUUAGUCCUAAAAUUUGUUCUCCCUUUAGAAUCUUGUGAAGAUUCUUCAUUCCAACAUGGGCUAGUCGGCGAUGCCAGAGCCAACCCAUAUUAGUAUUAGCAAUUAAGCAAGUGUUAAGUUCAGCUUUGUUCUCAUUAAAAUCAACUAAAUAUAGCUGACCCUCUAACACUCCCUUAAAUGCUAUUGAAUCAUCACUUCUUACAAAGACAGUAACACCUAUAUCAGUGAAUAGACAGUUGUAGCCCAUUUUGCAUAAUUGAGAAAUAGAAAGCAAAUUGUAGUCUAAAGAAUCUACAAGAAAAACAUUGGAAAUAGAAUGGUUAGGUGAUAUAGCAAUUUUACCUAAGCCUUUGACCAAACCUUGAUUUUCAUCCCCGAAUGUGAUAGCUCGUUGGGGAUCUUCAUUUUUCUCAUAGGAGGAGAACAUUCUUUUCUCC
RNAcentral lists this long non-coding RNA (1077 nucleotides) under Zea mays. RNAcentral describes it as "drought responsive lncRNA". Lineage: Eukaryota; Viridiplantae; Streptophyta; Magnoliopsida; Poales; Poaceae. The record is from RNAcentral.